UCCUCGUUGACCAAGGCAGUCUCGUAUGAAAAAUACAACAUACGAUAAGGGUUGCGCUCGUUGCGGGACUUAACCCAACAUUUCACAACACGAGCUGACGACGACCAUGCAUCACCUGUCACUAGUCCAGCCGGACUGACCUCUUUGUUUCCAAAGAGUACGACUAGGAUGUCAAGUCUCGGUAAGGUUCUUCGCUUAGCUUCGAAUUAAACCACACGCUCCACCGCUUGUGCGGGUCCCCGUCAAUUCCUUUGAGUUUUAGCCUUGCGGCCGUACUCCCCAGGCGGGGUACUUAACGCGUUAGCUUCGAUACCCAGGGGGUCUAUUCCCCGAAUACCUAGUACCCAUCGUUUACGGCGUGGACUAC
RNAcentral lists this unclassified non-coding RNA (367 nucleotides) under uncultured bacterium. RNAcentral's name for it is "contains 16S-23S intergenic spacer region". The record is from RNAcentral.